Non-coding RNA from Podarcis lilfordi (Lilford's wall lizard), 73 nucleotides. The record is from the annotation of a GenBank genome assembly. NCBI's taxonomy places the organism in Eukaryota, Metazoa, Chordata, Lepidosauria, Squamata, Lacertidae.
GCUGGGACAGCUCAGUCGGUAGAGCAUGAGAUUCUUAAUAUCAGGAUCGUGGGUCUGAGUCUCACACUGGGCA